RNAcentral lists this transfer RNA (74 nucleotides) under Marmota monax (woodchuck). RNAcentral describes it as "tRNA.Ile". It matches the Rfam family "tRNA". From Rfam's summary of the family: Transfer RNA (tRNA) molecules are approximately 80 nucleotides in length. Their secondary structure includes four short double-helical elements and three loops (D, anti-codon, and T loops). Lineage: Eukaryota; Metazoa; Chordata; Mammalia; Rodentia; Sciuridae. The record is from RNAcentral.
GCUGAGAAUGUGGCUCAGUGGUAGAGCACUUGCCUAAUAUGCAGGAGGAUCUGGGUUUGAUCUACAGCUCUGCA